This 410-nucleotide ribosomal RNA is filed under the name uncultured microorganism. RNAcentral's name for it is "bacterial SSU rRNA". It matches the Rfam family "Bacterial small subunit ribosomal RNA", at positions 509 to 917 of the family's 1533-position model. The record is from RNAcentral.
CAGCCGCCGCGGUAAUACGUAGGGGGCGAGCGUUGUCCGGAAUUACUGGGCGUAAAGGGCGUGUAGGCGGGUAAUUAAGUCUGAUGUGAAAGCCCACGGCUCAACCGUGGAGGGUCAUUGGAAACUGGGGGACUUGAGUGCAGGAGAGGAGAGCGGAAUUCCACGUGUAGCGGUGAAAUGCGUAGAGAUGUGGAGGAACACCAGUGGCGAAGGCGGCUCUCUGGCCUGUAACUGACGCUGAGGCGCGAAAGCGUGGGGAGCAAACAGGAUUAGAUACCCUGGUAGUCCACGCCGUAAACGAUGAGUGCUAAGUGUUAGAGGGGUCACACCCUUUAGUGCUGCAGCUAACGCGAUAAGCACUCCGCCUGGGGAGUACGGCCGCAAGGCUGAAACUUAAAGGAAUUGGCGGG